AGCACCACAACGGGUGGAGCUUGCGGUUUAAUUGGAUUCAACGCCGGAAAUCUUACCGGGACCGACAGCAAUAUGAAGGCCAGGCUGAAGACUUUGCCGGAUUAGCUGAGAGGUGGUGCAUGGCCGCCGUCAGUUCGUACUGUGAAGCAUCCUGUUAAGUCAGGCAACGAGCGAGACCCACGCCCACAGUUGCCAGCGUACUCUCCGGAGUGACGGGUACACUGUGGGGACCGCCGCUGCUAAAGCGGAGGAAGGAAUGGGCAACGGUAGGUCAGUAUGCCCCGAAUAUCCCGGGCUACACGCGAGCUACAAUGGUUGGUACAAUGGGUAUCUACCCCGAAAGGGGACGGAAAUCUCCUAAAACCAAUCUUAGUUCGGAUUGAGGGCUGCAACUCGCCCUCAUGAAGCUGGAAUCCGUAGUAAUCGCGUUUCAACAGAACGCGGUGAAUACGUCCCUGCUCCUU
Molecule: ribosomal RNA, 464 nt
Filed under: uncultured Methanosaeta sp.
Lineage: Archaea; Methanobacteriati; Methanobacteriota; Methanomicrobia; Methanotrichales; Methanotrichaceae
Description: bacterial SSU rRNA
Rfam family: Archaeal small subunit ribosomal RNA
Source: RNAcentral